Molecule: ribosomal RNA, 492 nt
Filed under: uncultured Spirochaeta sp.
Lineage: Bacteria; Pseudomonadati; Spirochaetota; Spirochaetia; Spirochaetales; Spirochaetaceae
Description: bacterial SSU rRNA
Rfam family: Bacterial small subunit ribosomal RNA
Source: RNAcentral
GCUCAGAAACUUAAAGGAAUUGACGGGGGCCCCGCACAAGCGGAGGAACAUGUGGUUUAAUUCGAUGAUACGCGAGGAACCUUACCUGGGCUAGAACGCAUUCGGAAUCAGGCCGAAAGGCCUGCGCCAGCGAUGGCCGCUUGCGAGGUGCUGCAUGGUUGUCGUCAGCUCGUGCCGUGAGGUGUCGGGUUAAGUCCCAUAACGAGCGCAACCCCUGCUAUCUAUUGCCAGCAAGUAAUGUUGGGGACUCAGAUGGAACUGCCGGUGACAAACCGGAGGAAGGUGGGGACGACGUCAAGUCAUCAUGGCCCUUAUGUCCUGGGCUACACACGUGCUACAAUGGCCGGUACAGAGCGCAGCGAGGCCGCGAGGCGGAGCGAAUCGCUUAAAGCCGGUCCCAGUACGGAUUGGAGUCUGCAACCCGACUCCAUGAAGUUGGAAUCGCUAGUAAUCGCGCAUCAGCAUGGCGCGGUGAAUACGUUCCCGGGCCUU